This 638-nucleotide ribosomal RNA is filed under the name uncultured bacterium. RNAcentral's name for it is "bacterial SSU rRNA". It matches the Rfam family "Bacterial small subunit ribosomal RNA", at positions 173 to 810 of the family's 1533-position model. The record is from RNAcentral.
UACAUGCCACCGGGGCAUCCCGGAGGCAGGAAAGGCUUCGGCCGGACAGGGAUGGGCAUGCGGCGCAUUAGGCAGUAGGCGGGGUAACGGCCCACCUAACCGACGAUGCGUAGGGGUUCUGAGAGGAAGGUCCCCCACACUGGUACUGAGACACGGACCAGACUCCUACGGGAGGCAGCAGUGAGGAAUAUUGGUCAAUGGUCGGGAGACUGAACCAGCCAAGCCGCGUGAGGGAUGAAGGUACAGAGUAUCGUAAACCUCUUUUGUCAGGGAACAAAGGCGGGGACGUGUCCCCGGAUGAGUGUACCUGAAGAAAAAGCAUCGGCUAACUCCGUGCCAGCAGCCGCGGUAAUACGGAGGAUGCGAGCGUUAUCCGGAUUUAUUGGGUUUAAAGGGUGCGCAGGCGGUCUGUUAAGUCAGCGGUCAAAGCCCGGGGCUCAACCCCGGCCCGCCGUUGAAACUGGCAGUCUCGAGUUGGAGAGAAGUAUGCGGAAUGCGCGGUGUAGCGGUGAAAUGCAUAGAUAUCGCGCAGAACUCCGAUUGCGAAGGCAGCAUGCCGGCUCCACACUGACGCUGAGGCACGAAAGCGUGGGUAUCGAACAGGAUUAGAUACCCUGGUAGUCCACGCAGUAAACGAU